UGGGGAAUCUUAGACAAUGGGCGCAAGCCUGAUCUAGCCAUGCCGCGUGGGUGAUGAAGGCCUUAGGGUCGUAAAGCCCUUUCGCCGGGGAAGAUAAUGACGGUACCCGGUAAAGAAACCCCGGCUAACUCCGUGCCAGCAGCCGCGGUAAUACGGAGGGGGUUAGCGUUGUUCGGAAUGACUGGGCGUAAAGCGCGCGUAGGCGGAUCAGGAAGUUGGGGGUGAAAUCCCGGGGCUCAACCCCGGAAUGGCCUUCAAAACUCCUGGUCUUGAGUUCGAGAGAGGUGGGUGGAAUUCCGAGUGUAGAGGUGAAAUUCGUAGAUAUUCGGAGGAACACCAGUGGCGAAGGCGGCCCACUGGCUCGACACUGACGCUGAGGUGCGAAAGCGUGGGGAGCAAACAGG
This 404-nucleotide ribosomal RNA is filed under the name uncultured Rubellimicrobium sp. RNAcentral describes it as "bacterial SSU rRNA". It matches the Rfam family "Bacterial small subunit ribosomal RNA", at positions 355 to 776 of the family's 1533-position model. Lineage: Bacteria; Pseudomonadati; Pseudomonadota; Alphaproteobacteria; Rhodobacterales; Roseobacteraceae. The record is from RNAcentral.